UGACCCCUCCUCAUGGCAGCCCUUUACCCCAGGACAGUGCUCGGGGUUGGCUCUAGCCCUGCAGCCAUCACCUCAGCAAGGGUUUUGGGCUCCCCCAGGUUGAGGUAAGGGGAGCCGGGAGCCAGUUCCCCAAGGGGGGCGGGGGGGGGCAGAGCCAAUGCCAGGGGGCCUCUCCGGCUGCAGUGAGGAGAGAGGGACAGAGGCAGCGGCAGCCUAGCCCCGCCCACCUCUUGCCCGAGAAAAGCACCCCCACCCAGAAGCCCAAGCAUGCAGCUUGCCUGCCCCCCUGGGCCUCCGGAGGGGCCGGAGAGCAGGUCCCCAUUUGCAGCCAGGGCUCACCUUCUCCAGAGAGGCUUCUGCAGCUCUGCCUGGCAGCCACUCUGUCCUUAUAUUCCUGGGGACGCUGUCAUCUUGCAUCCACGCAGGCCGGUGACACCUCCUUGAGCUCUUGGACUUUAGCAGGAAUGUGACGUGGAGGCCUGCAUGGCCACAAGGUUGCUGGUUAUCUGUAGCUCCACAGCAGAAUUCUUGCCCGGUGCCCCGGCCUCUGCCAGCAGGGAGAAGACGGCGCAACCUGGCCAGGUCUAAGGUUGGGAGAGCAGGAGAGGAAAGAGCAAGAUUCUUGUAGUGAUCAACAGAUAAGAGAUGAACAGAGUUGGAAGGGAUCUUGUAGGUCAUCUAGUCCAAUCCCCCCCCCCCCCAAGCAGGAGACCCUAAACCAUUUCUGGUAGUCCAGUCUCUUCUUGAAAGCCUCCAGGGAUGAAGCUCCCACAACUUCCAAAGGCAACUUCUAUUCCACAGCUAUUAUGGCAAGGUAUUGCAUCAUCUGCAGACCAACAACCCUUCCUCUUCUGCACCGUCUCUCUUUGGCAAAAGACCCUUCUGGCUCCCACUACACAAUCUGAUGACAACCACCCUGGAGACUCGAAGCAGGUGGAGGCUUCCUGCAGAGACAGUGUCCUUCAAGGUGCCCCUGCAACCAACGCAAGAGCCGUUCAAGCACUUAGGUGGGGUUGUAUGGCCUAAGCCGGAGGCCCGGCUAUUUUACCCCUUUGGGGCCCUGAUCCAGCCCAUUUUCAGUAGGUGAAAAGCUUCGCUCUGCAACCCUGCCAGCCAAAUGGGGCUACAGAUUGAACAUGGGGAAGAAUUGGCUCUCCAGGUCCAGCUUGGGGUGAAGGCAGAAGAGGCCACGCAGGCUCCCAAAGGCUGGCCUUCCAAGACCCGCCCUGGGCUUCCUUUCUCUCCUCCCGCUGGUUCCCCUCUGGCGUUGCCAGCUUCCACCCAGGCUCCCCGUGCCAGGCCUAACCACCACGACGCCAACC
This 1322-nucleotide long non-coding RNA is filed under the name Notechis scutatus (mainland tiger snake). Its description in RNAcentral is "lncRNA (ENSNSUG00000004230.1)". Lineage: Eukaryota; Metazoa; Chordata; Lepidosauria; Squamata; Elapidae. The record is from RNAcentral.